Molecule: long non-coding RNA, 249 nt
Filed under: Vigna radiata
Lineage: Eukaryota; Viridiplantae; Streptophyta; Magnoliopsida; Fabales; Fabaceae
Description: long non-coding RNA (VRAD_LNC002347)
Source: RNAcentral
UUCAAAGCAAAACGAAAACCAAAAUGAAGAGAAAGACUUUCGAAAGAAAAAAAGUGCUAAAAAAGAACAAGAAUGUUUUCGGAAUAAAAAAAAUUACCCUUUCCAAAUAUUCUUUUAAUAAAAAAAUAAAAAAAAUGGAACAAUACAAUUGACGUUGUCAAAUUUUUGUCAAAAAAAACGUUCUUAGAAUAUCGCCAUCCUUUAAAAAAAAAGCAUACCCAUUUAGAAAUUUCCAAUUUCUCUCUCCAC